This is a long non-coding RNA of Tribolium castaneum (red flour beetle), 5843 nucleotides long. RefSeq lists it as uncharacterized. The transcript is spliced from 2 exons. Lineage: Eukaryota; Metazoa; Arthropoda; Insecta; Coleoptera; Tenebrionidae. The record is from RefSeq and is a predicted model, not a curated record.
GAUAACGAUCAUGAUUAAAGUAAAUAUUACAAUUUCCUAAGUAUCGUACUAAUUCUAGAGGUGGCUUUAGAUUUCCAUAACUAUCAAAAUAAUCAACCUGUUUAUUUGUUUUUCUAUAACAAACCCAAUGAGUUCCGGAUCCUUUUUUAGAGUCCAAAUUAAUGAUAGCACAUUCUGUCUUAUCAGGUUUCAUAUGAAUUAAUUCAUCUCUCAUAAAAACGCCUUUAAAUUUGGGUAGUUUUAAUAAUUUAGCAUAUCUUCUUAAAUCAUUAUCAGUUAGUGCCCUAUUAGGCAGUUUUAUUGGUAGUUUUUUGGAAAUUUACGUAAAUACAAUCCAUAACCUCGUGGUUGCUUUCGAAGAUAUAAACCACUUCCCGCCUUCCCGAUAGCGAUAUCUUCCAGUACUUUAUUAUGACGUUUAUUCUCAUCUAAUUUCUGUUUCGCUGCUUUAGCAUCAUUUACAGCUUUAGUUAUAGCAGCAGCACCUCCGCCCAUAGCCCCUAAGGCACUAAGUCCUCCAAAAAUUAAUGGUAACAAUGGUAAAAAUCCUCCUGUUUUUAUAGGUAUAAUACGAGGAAUUUUUAUACGCUUACGACCUCCAGAUUUUCUAACUGCUAUACGAGCAGCUGAUAAUGCAGAUUUUAUAUUAUCAUAUCCCUUAUUUUCUAAAUUUGAUAAAAGAGCUUUAUGAAAAGGUUGUUGUUUUUUCUGUGUCCUCUUUCUAGAUUUCUUUGUCUUCCUUUUCGAUUUUUUCCUUUGGAUUCCCAUACCUAAUUUCCUUUUGACUUUCAUUGCGUUAGUUACAAACCAGGCACUUGCUUUUUCACCAAAUGAAGCGUCUUUAGACUUAACACGUGACCAUGCACUAUCUUCUAAAAUUCGAUCCGCUUGAUGUCUAUCUUUUAAAUCGUUGGAAUUAGCGUAAGCUAUAUCGUGCGUUUUACAAAAGCUGUCAAGCUUGUUUAUUCCAGGAUCACCUCGUUCUAACCGUUUCUUAAGUUUUGUACCAGGUCCGCAAUAUUGAUAUCCUGGUAAAUGUAAUUCAAAAGGUAAUUUAUUGAUUGCAGUAUUUAAUAGUCCUUCCCCUUUGAAAGACAACAUUUAACUGAACUUUUUUCCCUAUAUAAACCUUCUUAUAAAUGUUUUUAAUUUAGUAUGAAAAUGAAAGUGUUAAAGCAAAAAUUACAAUUACCUAUCAUAAAUCAUGAUUAUAAUAAUGUUGAUAAUAAACAUAAAAUGUCUCAUCGACAUGGUACACUUUUACCCGAAUCAAUACGUUGUAUAAUUUGUGGACCUUCUGGUGGAGGAAAAACUAACAUAUUAUUGUCUUUAUUGUUUGAUCCCAACGGAUUGAAAUUUGAAAACAUAUAUAUUUAUUGUAAAUCAUUAUAUCAACCGAAGUAUAAACUGCUUAGUGAUGUGCUACAAAAAAUUAAAGGAAUGGAAUAUAACCAGUAUGAACAUAAUGAAGACGUGCUAGAUCCAAAAGAUGCAAAAAAUAACUCUAUUUUUAUAUUUGAUGAUGUCAUAAUGUGUAAUCAAGCUAAGAUAAGGGAUUACUUUUGCAUGGGCCGGCAUAAAAAUAUUGAUAGUUUCUAUCUCUGUCAAACAUAUACAAAAAUACCGAAACAUUUAAUUCGAGAUAAUGCAAAUUUAUUGGUAAUAUUAAAACAAGAUCUGUUAAAUUUAAAACAUGUAUAUGAAGAUCAUGUUGGUGCUGAUAUGAAAUUCGAACAAUUCUGUGAAAUAUGUCAGGAAUGUUGGAAAAACCAAUAUGGUUUUUUGGUUAUAUGUAAAGAUAAUGAAUUAAAUAAGGGUCGAUAUAGAAAAGGGUUUGAUCAUUUUAUUCAAGUGUAGAGUGAUAUCUAUUUGAGAACGUUUCCAGACCGGUUAAUAUCAGUUUCACAGCGGUUAGUAUCGGUGCGAUAUCGGUUAAUACCGGUUCCAAAGCGGUUAGUAUCGGUUAGAUACCGGUUAGAGACCGGUUAAUAUCGGUCUCAGACCGGUUAGUAUCGGUGUGAUAUUGGUUAAUACCGGUUCCAGAGCGGUUAUUAUCGGAUAGAGACCGGUUAAUAUCGGUUUCAGACCGGUUAAUGUCUGUUAAAAAGCAGUUCCUGAUCGGUUUGAGAUCGGUUAAUAUCAGUUUGAGACCCGUUAUAAUAGCAGUCGAAUAAGAAGUUAUAUAAACAAUAAUUCUGAUUUGUUCGGUUAGUUUAUAACAUUAAGCGGUAAUGAUGGGUACCAAACCAGAUCAAAACCUUAAAAGACAUAUAUUAAAAGCAGCUGAUUCAAUUCGAAAGAAGUAUAAAGCCAUAAAGUUAAACAGCAGUGAAGCGGAUGAGUCAAUUAAAAAGCUUUUUCAGCCUGUUAUAAAUCCUUUAGAAGAAAUUUCAAUAAAAUUGGAGAAGCAAUCUCCACCACCACAGCAACAACAACAAAAACAACACAAAAGACCAAAACAUCAUAUUCAAAAGCAAAGGAAACAAUUUCUUAAACUACCAAAAAAAGAAAAGAUUAAACAAGAACUUGAACUACCAGUUGAAGAAACAUAUGAACCUAGUACAUCACUGCGACAACCAGAAGAAAUAUAUGAGUCAUUACCAGAAAUAAAAGAAGAAGAUGAAGAAACCAAAUCUGACACUAUGGAUGAUUUAAUUAAUAGCAGACAUAUUUUAGAUGAAUUUUUAGAACAAUAUCCUCCAGUUGCGAGAAAUGCAAUAGAAGCAGUUUUAGAGAAAACCAGUGAUCAGACAUUUGGUCCUAGAUAUAAUUCAAAAGAGAAUAAACUAUUUAUGGGUAAACAUGAAUUAAUAAUCAGUCAAAAUGGUGAUUUAAUUUUAGAUAAUGAAUCAUUUCCUGGUACUCCUGGUUUAUACAGACUAAUAUUUUUUAAAAACCCUGAAGAUAAAUACACUCAAAUUACAAAAGAGGAUCGGUCAGCAUACAAAAAAAUACUUGAAAUUUCUAAUACACAUAGAAAAAAUAAUGAUCCCACAAAACAACUAAAAGGUCAUAGAGGUGUAAAAUAUACUCAAAUUGUGCAACCAAUGUUUACUUCAUUUCCUAAAUCUCCGUUUAUUGGUGAAGGAUUAUUCACUAAUAAACGUGUAGAAUAUGUUUACUGGGAUGACAUAAAUGAAUUAGUGUCACGUCUAGCAUUAUUACAUGCAGCGACAAAAGCGGGUAACAAUUCCCAUCUGAAUGAAAUUUUAUCAAUAGAAGAAGAAUUAAAGGAAUGUGGUGUAAUAUAUUAGGCUUAAGUUUUUUUCUGGUUAAUCCUCAGUGUUGAAAUGCCCAUUGAUCUAUUCGGACGUAAAGUGUUAUCAGCAUCAAGUGCAUUUUUUAAAUCUACACCAUCACCUUUUGUUUUCACUGCUGAUGGUGACCUUGAUUUAAAACAUCAUAGAAUCUGUAACAUUAAUGAUCCAACAGAAGACAAAGAUUGUGCGAAUAAGGUAUAUAUUGAUUUAGUAAGUAAACAAAUAUACCAAAAGAUGGAAGGAGUAAUAGCUGCUUUAACGGAUUUAAAUAAUAAUGUUCAUAAAGCAGAUGCUAUAUGGAUGGAUAAAUUUAAUCAGUUAAACUUAACCAUGAAUGUUAAGUACAAAAUACUUGAUGAAAAAAUUGAUAAUAUAAUUGCUACAAUUCCUCACACGAUUGAAUCAGAAUUGCAUAACAAACAUUUAAGUAUAAAUUAUGAAAUCGAUAACAAGUGGAAAAAAUUUAUGAAUAAUUCAAAUGAGAUAACCAGACGAAUAAAAAAACUUGAAGAACGCUUUGAAGGAAUCGAUAGUAUUAAGAUAAAACCAGAAACCAUUUCCAAACGUUCUAAAGCAGGUGAUACAGAUCAACUUGAAAAUGUACCUAUAUCAAAGAAAAGGAAAGUAACAGAUUCAUAUGAAAAUAGUGAAAGAUAGAACCCAUGCCUCAUAAUAAAAACAAGUGUCCUCCAGGUCAAAUGUCAGAUCGUCAUGGAAAUUGUAGAGAAGUGUACCGUAAAUAAGCAAUGGUUCGACUAAAGCAAGUUAGUGAUGUAAAGCAAAAAUUGGUAAACGAGAUAUUUAAACCUGCACGCAGGAAUUUUAAACGAAGACGUACUAUAAUUAAAGGAUUGGAUGAUUUAUGGCAAGUAGAUUUAGCAGAAAUGCAAAAUUUAUCUUAUCAUAAUAAUGGAUUUAAAUAUAUUUUAGUCGUAAUCGACUGUUUUUCUAAAUUUUUAUGGACCAGACCACUGAAAUCGAAAUCAGCUAAUGAGGUUAGCAGAGCUAUGGAAUCAAUACUGAAGAAUGAAAAAGAACGAAUACCAAAGAAUUUACAGUCAGAUCAAGGAAAGGAAUUUUAUAAUACCACUUUUCAGGAUUUGAUGAGACGUUAUAAUAUUAAUCACUAUAGUACGUACAGCGUUAAAAAAGCAGCAAUUGCUGAACGAGUUAUACGUACUUUAAAAUCCAAAAUUUAUCGAUAUUUUACGUUAUUUGCGACACAUAAAUGGAUAAAUAAAUUGCAAGAGAUAACCAAAAAUUAUAAUACUACAAUACAUCGAACAACAGGAAGGAAACCCACAGAGAUAAACGCUUCGAAUCAAGGAGACAUAACAGCAUAUGAUCAUCUAAAGAUUGUUGAUAAAAACAGAAAAAAAUUUAAAGUCGGAGAUUUCGUAAGAAUUAGCAAAGAAAAGAUGUUAUUUGAAAAAGGAUAUACACCCAAUUGGUCAACGGAAAUUUUUAAAAUCAGUAAGAUUAAUCUAACCAAUCCUGUAACAUUUCUGCUAGAAGAUAAAGAAGGUCAACCAAUCAAAGGAGCUUUUUAUAUUUGGGAAUUAUCAAAAACUCAAUAUCCUGACGUCUAUUUAGUUGAGAAAGUGAUUCGACGUAAAGGAACUAAAUUAUUUGUGAAAUGGUUAGGUUUACCAGAUAAUCAGAAUAGUUGGAUUGAAAUGAAAGAUAUUACCUAAUAAAUAAGAAAUAUAUAUACGAUAUAAUUAUUUAACGUCUAAUUUAGUUCCAUUUAAGAUGGCAACGAGUGUAGAACCUGUUAUAAAAAAAGUGCUGCAUUUUGAAAAAACCAUAAGCGAUAUUCGAUUACUAAUGAAACUGGAACUACUGAAAUUAGGACCGUGCCAGUUGAUGGAUAUAUUUCAUAAAUUACCGGAAACAUAUCAACAAGAUCAUGAUAUAAAGCUGAAUCUACCAUGUUUACAACAUUAUUAUAACAGUUUUGACGAAGAUCAGUUUGAUGGUCCUCCUUCAUCAAUAAAUAAUUGUGUUUCGUGUAUUUUAGAUGAUACAGGAAGCCAACAACAACAACAACAACAACAACAACAACAACAACAACCCACUGCGUUUCAAGUGUAAUGCCUCUUUUGAACUCAUCACUCAUCUUAUAUGUACAUCGUCUUCACUAGUGAAAGUCCUAACAACACAAGAUGGUCUCCUCUCUGGAAAAGUUUAUUUUUCAACGAUGUUGAUUACCAAUGGAAGAAGAUGAAUCUGGGUUAUUUGAGCAAUACUGCAAUAGAAAUAUUUAAAUAUGAAAAUGUUUCUAUAGCAAACUCUGUAAUAUAUUUUAAAUUAAGACUAGUUUUUACCAAUAGUAAUUAUAUUGAUACUGACUGGAAGAGACUUAUACUUAAUGAUCAUGAUGUAGUUUCAAUAAAAAAUUGUUUUAAUCAUGUUCCUACCUUUUUAGCAAUGUUUGGAAUUGUUUGUACAUGUUGGAUCGUUUUUAUGAUGUUCAUAGCGUUAGGUUUGGCUUAAAAACUGCAAUUAAAAAUUUAUUUAGGUGUAUGACUUUGUUAGUUUAAGUAUGUAGUUUGUUUUAUGUCUAAUAAAAAAUAAUAUUCA